Molecule: non-coding RNA, 533 nt
Organism: Danio rerio (zebrafish)
Lineage: Eukaryota; Metazoa; Chordata; Actinopteri; Cypriniformes; Danionidae
Source: RefSeq, a predicted model, not a curated record
UAAAUCAACCGGAGUGCCUGUUCGUCCUUCUCUAUGUCUCAGCGUCCACCAAGAAAAGUCUGAAGGUUUUGUUUAUCGUCGGGACACGUGUUUGGAGCAACUGACCAGAAGCUACAUCCGGUAUUACAGGAGUUGGGGGCAUUCUCCCCCCACUUUUAAAAGCUUUUCACAUCUGUCGUGCUGUUUGUUGUAAAUCAGUAUUUAAUUUGAAUGAAUCUACUUGCUAUUGUUUUAGCUUAAUAGUUUGUGUUGGCAGUUUACAGUAUUAGAGUUUUUGAAUGUCAUUUUUAAUCUUGUGUUCCUCAAAUGUGGUUUUGAUGUAGCAUUUACUAUUAGACAUUUAGGUGAAGUUGGUUUUAUAUUCACAUUUUCACUGAGCACUUGGUAAUGGUAACAAUUGUUAAUCAUGCUACUUUGAAUAUCCGUGUGUGUGUGUCACAUCAGCACAAUUGAAUUAACCAAACAAUUCUGUACUAUUAAUCAUUGGCUGCUAAUAGGACUUCCCCAUUUAAAAUUAGCAAAGAAUACUUAAG